Molecule: long non-coding RNA, 279 nt
Filed under: Sorghum bicolor (sorghum)
Lineage: Eukaryota; Viridiplantae; Streptophyta; Magnoliopsida; Poales; Poaceae
Description: long non-coding RNA (SBIC_LNC014519)
Source: RNAcentral
CAUAUUUCCUGAUAACCCUCUGAAGAAAUAGACAAACACCAAAACUCGAGGAAUUCUGUUAGAUAAAACCCUAAGUCUAGGUGUUGGUUGCAUUUCGAUCCUUUUCUUUAUUUAUUUGAUGAUUAAAUUUGGUACUUAAGGACCGUCAACAGUAGUAGGCUAUAGUAGAUAUUGGAAUAUUUUUGUUGGACUAACCCCUAUAGGAAAAUCUCAAAUACAAAUUGGGAAAGUCCUGAGAUGAACUCAUAUUGGAGAUGAAGGGAGACACGACUCAUGCAU